Molecule: long non-coding RNA, 1283 nt
Filed under: Nicotiana tabacum (common tobacco)
Lineage: Eukaryota; Viridiplantae; Streptophyta; Magnoliopsida; Solanales; Solanaceae
Description: long non-coding RNA (NTAB_LNC001416)
Source: RNAcentral
UAAAUUUCCAGGAAUUGUGCUGUGUUCUAAUGAUUUCUCACUUGAUUUGUUGGUCAUGACAAUUUAGCAAAUCAAAUGUUAAUUUCUUGACAUUAAUUCCUUCUUCAAAUCCAUAUCUUACUCCCGGUGUGUCAUUUUUGGGGUGAUUGACUGAUUGGUGACCUUAUCAAGCAGGAAAAAGAGCAAGACUAUUCUUGUAUUGUGUUUAUGCUUGUGCAGAUGGUAGGGUUUUACAUGAAUUCCUUUUCUUGGUUUUUCUCUUUUUCCCUAAUGAUUGAUCAGUUGUUGAGGCUUCAAUUACUAAUUAAAUAUCAGAGAAGAAAAAUUUGUGGUAUCGAGCCGUAGAAUCAUCCAUUGAUACUUGUAUUAGGGUAGACUGCCUAUAUCACACCCUUUGGGUCCGGCCCUUUCCCAGAUCCUGCGUAAACGCGAGAUACUUCGUGCACUGGACUGCCUUUUUUUUUUAGAAAUUCAUGGUAUGUGCCUGCACCCUCUUAUCGAUGAUAAAUUGUAUGGUUCAAUCAAGCCACAAGCCCAAUUACUAGUACUGUUUUUUUCUUGUGGAUGUAUAUGAGCUGUUGAUCAUUGGAAACAUCCUGUUUAUCAUAUGAAAAUAAUUAAUGGCGCAAUAGUUCCUCAAACAAUAGAAAAUUUGUACUGGUCAAGUCUUUUGCUCUCUCAAUCACUUUAUUUCUAACAAUUUGUAGCUUUAAGGUUAACUAAUUAUCUAUCCGGAAGGAGUAAAAGUUUGCAAGUAUCCUCACUUUUCUCAUGAUGUUGCAGCUGAAUAAAUUCCAAAACAGCAAUAUCAACCCUAGUUUUCACGGGACACAGAAAGAUAUUAAAGGUUUUUCCACAUCCUUUGACUUUGCUGUUGGUGAAGAUGCAUAAAAACCAAUUGCAAGUUUGGUUCUACAAUAGAUUUGUCUAACAGCAAUUUCCAGCGGACGCCAUUAUUUUUUUUCUUUCAAUGAAUAGGAAGAAGGAGAGCCGCGAGAGCAAUGGUAAAGUUGACUCCGUGUGGGUUCAAACCAUGGGAAGAUAGCUGAAUUGAAAGAGGCAGAUUCAAGAUGGACAGGACAAUUGAAGACAGCAUUCUUAUUUCAGUGUUUCACAAUUACAAACAGCUGACAUGUUUGAGUGCGUUUUUUUGGGGGGCAAUACCGAAGUUAAUUGAAGAAGAGGGAACACCGUUCGAAUUAGCAAAAUUCAAACCAAUGUGAUAUGAGUUAUGAGCCAGUGGACACUGAGCUCUUUCCAUAUAUGUCUCCAUAAUAUUCGAC